This 66-nucleotide transfer RNA is filed under the name Stebbinsia umbrella. Its description in RNAcentral is "tRNA-Thr". Lineage: Eukaryota; Viridiplantae; Streptophyta; Magnoliopsida; Asterales; Asteraceae. The record is from RNAcentral.
UUUCUUUUAACUCAGUGGUAUCCCAUGGUAAGGCGUAAGCCCUCGGUUCAAAUCCGAUAAGGGGCU